GAGUUCUACAUACACAUCUUUCUCGAUUUAGUAUUUGGUUACAUGUAAUUUGGGAACCCUGUGCAGUUUUUAGGAUGGUGAUUGCCUGUUUUACGUGUACCGCAGUUUAUGCGACCUCCACACGGCUCCUGGAGAAAACAAACCCAACGCGCGCCCUCGAGUCUGAGUAUCCGCCUCAUGUUAGGAGACCUCAGUUCGCAGAAACUCUUGUUGGCACGACGUCUCGAGCUGGAAAAUCUUUACCUGCUUUGUUACAACGACCCCAUCGAUUGCAAAGUAUCACUGUUGUUGCAAGGAGCCCGACUUCCGGUUCCGAAGAAGAGCCUGCUUUGUUGUCUCCGCAACACUCGACGCGCAAGGGAACAGCACCUUCAGACUUACUGACAGAAACAAGGCAUGCUGACUUCCGUCACUUGAACGCGUACGACAACGGCCUCGCGGACGCACUGGAGGUGACAAUCGCAGCGAGAAACGAACGGAAUUACAGACCGGGAAGCCGCCGACGAUUACCAACAACAGUACCGAGUGUUUCGAGGUUUGCGGGGAGCAAACAAGCUGCUACAGCACAAGCUGCAGUCUCGGAGUUGACUUUGACGCCAGUGAGUGGAAGGCAAGAAUUGCUUCAACUCUUUAUGGACGACGCCUCCGAUAUCCCCCGCGAUACAUGGCGAGAGAUCUUGCUGUUCAGAUUAGGACGCGUGCAAGAAUCGGGUGAAUCUGAUGGUGGGGCCACUCCUUCCACGCGAGUGCGAUCGCCCGUCGAUCGAGCAGACGAAUCUUGAGCGAGCUCGUUCUUUUCUAUUCUACUUCAGCUCUUUUGCGGUUGCUGUCUUCCACUCAGUCAAUCAGCUGCGGUUUCCACUGCGGGCUUUUCCCGCGACUCCCAGA
This 888-nucleotide long non-coding RNA is filed under the name Toxoplasma gondii VEG. Lineage: Eukaryota; Apicomplexa; Conoidasida; Eucoccidiorida; Sarcocystidae. The record is from RNAcentral.